GACGAACGCUGGCGGCGUGCCUAAUACAUGCAAGUAGAACGCACAGUUUAUACCGUAGCUUGCUACACCAUAGACUGUGAGUUGCGAACGGGUGAGUAACGCGUAGGUAACCUGCCUGGUAGCGGGGGAUAACUAUUGGAAACGAUAGCUAAUACCGCAUAAUAUUAAUUAUUGCAUGAUAAUUGAUUGAAAGAUGCAACUGCAUCACUACCAGAUGGACCUGCGUUGUAUUAGCUAGUAGGUGAGGUAACGGCUCACCUAGGCGACGAUACAUAGCCGACCUGAGAGGGUGAUCGGCCACACUGGGACUGAGACACGGCCCAGACUCCUACGGGAGGCAGCAGUAGGGAAUCUUCGGCAAUGGACGAAAGUCUGACCGAGCAACGCCGCGUGAGUGAAGAAGGUUUUCGGAUCGUAAAGCUCUGUUGUAAGAGAAGAACGGGUGUGAGAGUGGAAAGUUCACACUGUGGCGGUAUCUUACCAGAAAGGGACGGCUAACUACGUG
Molecule: ribosomal RNA, 505 nt
Filed under: uncultured bacterium
Lineage: Bacteria
Description: partial 16S ribosomal RNA
Rfam family: Bacterial small subunit ribosomal RNA
Source: RNAcentral